CAAACUAAAGAUGGCGACCGGCGCACGGGUGAGUAACACGUAUCCAACCUGCCGAUAACUCGGGGAUAGCCUUUCGAAAGAAAGAUUAAUAUCCGAUAGUAUAUUAAAACCGCAUGGUCUUACUAUUAAAGAAUUUCGGUUAUCGAUGGGGAUGCGUUCCAUUAGUUUGUUGGCGGGGUAACGGCCCACCAAGACUACGAUGGAUAGGGGUUCUGAGAGGAAGGUCCCCCACAUUGGAACUGAGACACGGUCCAA
Molecule: ribosomal RNA, 255 nt
Filed under: uncultured bacterium
Lineage: Bacteria
Description: partial 16S ribosomal RNA
Rfam family: Bacterial small subunit ribosomal RNA
Source: RNAcentral